Long non-coding RNA from Myzus persicae (green peach aphid), 2866 nucleotides. RefSeq lists it as uncharacterized. The record is from RefSeq and is a predicted model, not a curated record. The transcript has 5 exons. Lineage: Eukaryota; Metazoa; Arthropoda; Insecta; Hemiptera; Aphididae.
UAUAGUUAAUUCCUAAUUUAAAUCGUAUUAUUUUUUAUUUUUAACCAAACGUCGUAUCUUAUUGACGUGGAAGAAACAUCCGCGAUUCCUAUGAUUUAUGUUUAUACUCCUUGACAUACAAGCUCCUUGCGACGCCGAGUUCCACCCUGGCAUUUUUCUCGUCCCGCGACGUGUACAACGUCGCCAUUGCGUCGUGCGGACAACUCGAUUUCUCCGCUCUCAGACUACUUUUUAUUUGUCAUGUGACGCUUGACUCGUCUCAACAUCAACCACCCUAAAAUAAUAAUAAUGUAAGGAGAUAUUACAGUCUAUACAUUACACUCGUUUAUAUCCCGCUUGUCAUCUUCUAAGGUCAACUCUUUUUAAAACUGCAGCCUUCGUAGUCUUAAACGAUUACUCAGAACAUUGCUAAAACCAAACAUGCAGUCGAACGAUGGACGAUCAAAUUCCCGAUUCAUCUGACGAGUUCACCCAUAAUGUUAAUAACGAAAAUUAUACAAUACACAAUUGAACUUGGAAAUCACUAUUAAUUUACACAUCAAUCAUAAAUUCAAAACUUAAAUUAAGCCAAAGUUCUGUCAAAUCAUUUAUCUAUGAGAAAAAUUGUUCGGCAGUAGAUGCAGCAUUUCAAACUACUAUGGAGCAGCAGCAAACUCCACAAAAAUCAGUUGAUGACUUGGAGCACAUAAUUGGACGUUUAAAGAAUGAUUACUCAUUUCCAAGGAAAAAAUAGAUUAACUUGACAGAAAUAUUGACAAUAUGUGUGAACAAAAUAACAGGAUGAGUUUUCAUUGAAACCGGAUUGAACAAGUACACACUAUAAUUGCAAUCGAAAGGAAUUUAUACAAAGUCUUAUAAAAACAGCUCCUAUUUUGAAAUACAUUUAAAUAAACCAUGACAAAUAGUCGUGUUCAAUAGUAAGCUUCGUAAGUAGAGAGGUUUUAAGAACACUUUUAGUUGAGAAAUUCACUGAUAAUGAAUUUUUUCAAUUAAUAAUGAAUAGAUUAAUAACAGAAAACACGAGAAAACCUACUAUUAUAACUGGCAAACAUUUUGGUACAGAACAUGAUAUCACUGCUUAUGAAACUCUAGAUAGAUUAAUCCGUAUUUGUUAAAUUUCACUUGGAAUGUAAUAGCUAAUUAUCUACUUGAUAAUAACCAUAUUGAAACAAUAAUGCUUAUAGAUGACCCAGUAUAUCCGAAGAUUACAAUGGAUCUGUGUACAAAGUUCCUAGAAAUUGUUGCUGAAUCGAAACUUUAGAUAAAAUUCAAAUUCACCAUAGACAGUCAUAUAGAGUAUACUCUUUGCAAAGUGCUACUGAACCAGUUUUCUUGUAAAGUAAUAUUUUUGUUGCUAUUUAUAAUUUGAAAACUUGAUAAAAGAGAGUGUGAUUGGAGAAAACUUGAAUACUCUAAGCACAGAAUUAAAAAAUAUUGAAAAGUCAAAAGUAAAAAACUAACAAAACUUUGACAAUAAGUCUCAAUCGGAAACAAAAUUACCUAAGGCCAAGUACGACAAGACCGCUAUCGAAAACACAUGAAUUUAAAAGAAAAUGAUGACAAAAUGGCUGUUGUUACUGAAGAAAUAAAUUAUGUUGAUUUAUAAGUAGUCUAAGUCAAAGAAAUAAAAGAAGAAUCUAAUCCCCCCAAGAAUGCUUGUUCUACAUUACAAGAACGAAUUAAGAGCCUUCAGACUAAUGUGUAUUAUUUAUAACAGCAGAAACCACAUUAGAAACUAAUUACUUAGAGAAGAGAGGUGAAAAUCAUCUGGUCAUGAGAUAUAGGAAGAAGAAAAUGGAUUGGUGCUGAAAUUACAAAUACCAAAGGCCAGCUCAAAAUUAAUCCACAUCAACAAAAUGUGGUAUUGUGAUGUUUGAUAACGAUUAUGGAGGAACGUGCAAAAACCAUUUUAGUCCAAUGAUGAAGAUUAUGUACACAAUAUGGAUAAUGUUAAGUGAAUAGCAACUACUCAGCUGUUUAUUUCAGCUAUCGAAAAUCGUUAUGUUACAACAAUUUCAUAUUCCUCAUCUCACCCACAAGAUAUAUCACACAUACAAAAUCCUAAUAAUUUUAAGAUAAAUAAGUUUCAGAACCUAGAUAUUAAAACUUAGUGUUUAGUUUAUACUGUUGUAAUAGGUUAUUUAAGUAAUUAGAUUCUAAUGUUGUUUCAACUGUUAUAAAUAAUACAUUCUAGUCUGAACGCUCUUAAUUCCUACUAAUAAUGCAGAACAAGCAUUCUUGGGGGGAUUAGAUUCUUCAUUUAUUUCUUUGACCGUGACUACUUUUAAAUCAACAUCAUUUAUUUCUUCAGUAACAAUAGCUAUUCUGUCAUCAUUUUCUUUUAAGUUCAUGUGUUUUCGAUAGAUGUCUUGUCGUACUUGGCCUUGAGUAAUUUUGUUUCCGAUUGAGACUUAUUGUCAAAGUUUUGUUAGUUUUUUACUUUUGACUUUUCAAUAUUUUUUAAUUCUGUGCUUAGAGUAUUCAAGUUUUCUCCUAUCACACUCUCUUUUAUCAAGUUUUCAAAUUAUAAAUAGCAACAAAAAUAUUACUUUACAAGAAAACUGGUUCAGUAGCACAUUGCAAAGAGUAUACUCUAUAUGACUAUGUCUAUGGUGAAUUUGAAUUUUAUCUAAAGUUACGAUUCAGCAACAUUUUCUAGGAACUUUGUACACAGAUCCAUUGUAAUCUUCGAAUAUACUGGGUCAUUUAUAAGCAUUAUUGUUUCAAUAUGAUUAUUAUCAAGUAGAUAAUUAGCUAUUACGUUCCAAGUGAAAUUUAACAAAUACGGAUUAAUCUAUCUAAGAGUUUCAUAAGCAGUGAUAUCAUGUUCUGUACCAAAAUAUUUGCCAGUUAUAAUAGUAGGUUU